UCCAGACUCCUACGGGAGGCAGCAGUGGGGGAUAUUGCACAAUGGGGGGAACCCUGAUGCAGCGACGCCGCGUGGGUGAAGGAGCGUUUCGGCGCGUAAAGCCCUAUCGGCAGGGAAGAAGGAGGACGGUACCUGACUAGGAAGCCCCGGCUAACUACGUGCCAGCAGCCGCGGUAAUACGUAGGGGGCAAGCGUUAUCCGGAUUUACUGGGUGUAAAGGGGGCGCAGACGGCAGCGCAAGCCAGGAGUGAAAGCCCGGGGCCCAACCCCGGGACUGCUCUUGGAACUGCGCGGCUGGAGUGCAGGAGGGGCAGGCGGAAUUCCUGGUGUAGCGGUGAAAUGCGUAGAUAUCAGGAGGAACACCGGUGGCGAAGGCGGCCUGCUGGACUGCGACUGACGUUGAGGCCCGAAAGCGUGGGGAGCAAACAGGAUUAGAUACCCGCGUAG
RNAcentral lists this ribosomal RNA (447 nucleotides) under uncultured bacterium. RNAcentral's name for it is "partial 16S ribosomal RNA". It matches the Rfam family "Bacterial small subunit ribosomal RNA", at positions 330 to 793 of the family's 1533-position model. The record is from RNAcentral.